CCCUGACUGAAUAUAAUACCAACAAUAAUACCAACAUGUUUCAAGCAGACCCCCAUAGUGCCUGUGUCCAAGAACACUAAGGGUGCCUGCCUAAAUGACUACCGACCCGUAGCACUCACGUCUGUAGCCAUGAAGUGCUUUGAAAGGCUGAUCAGGCUCACAUCAAAACCAUUAUCCCAGAAACCCUAGACCCACUCCAAUUUGCAUACCUCCCCAGCAGAUGAUGAAAUCUCUAUUGCACUCCAGCACUUCCCCUUCCCACCUGGACAAAAGGAACACAUAUGUGAGAAUGCCAUUCAUUGACUACAGCUCAGCAUUUGACACAGUGACCACAUCACUAAGCUAAGGGCGCUGGGACUAAACACUUCCCUCUGCAACUAGAUCCUGGACUUCCUGACGGGCCACCCCCAGGUGGUAAGGGUACGUAACAACACAUCUGCCACACUGAUGCUACACCUACUGGAGAGCUCUUCGUCUACACACAUUCAGCAUCGUUCCUCAAACCUUAGCCCCACCCAUCUCUUUAAUUAUUCACGUGAGGCCAUGUGGUAAACACACGCUAUAUCAAAUCAAAUCCAGGUUUAUUUGUCACAUGAUAGAGAACAUGUAAAUAGCACAGUGAAGUGGUUACUUGCAUAGUAUAAAAAACAGAAUGUGUCCAGAAAAUAGUUGAGCAAUAUUAGAUGACACUUACCUGACACACUUGUCUAAAUUGAUUGGGUCAUGUGAAGGAAACGCUAUAACCACCCCCAGCCACAUCUAGCUAAGUGGAAGGGUCAUGUGAAGGAAAUGCAAUAACCACCCCCAGCCACAUCUAGCUAAGUGGAAGGGUCAUGUGAAGGAAAUGCAAUAACCACCCCCAGCCACAUCUAGCUAAGUGGAUGGGUCAUGUGAAGGAAAUGCAAUAACCACCCCCAGCCACAUCUAGCUAAGUGGAAGGGUCACUAUUGUCUAGACAAAAAAACAUGUUCAUGAAAUACAAUAGAUGACUGUAAUCCCCCCGAGACACACCUGGCUAAUUUGAUGGGUCAUGUUGUAAUUCGGCUGAAGUGGAGUCUUUUGUUUAGACACGUAGCUAGCUAGCUGAACAAUGAACCAAAAUCUCAACUCAUACUACCACCAAUACAAACAUUGUCAUAUCUGUAGUGUGAAUCUGCAGGUAGCUAAAGCUAACAAACUAGGUUCAAUGUUAGCUAGCUAAGGUUAGGCUAUAACUAGCAAUGCAAAUGGACUUCUGAUUCGAGUAAUAUUAAUACACAGAUCAUAUACGUAAUGUUAGCAUGUUGGCUUCCUAGCUAAUUUUUCCUAAACUUAUAUCUGAAAAUGUAGCUAGACUCUUACUCGUUCGUAUACAUGGAUGAGCGCUUCACACAGACUGGAACCAUCUAACUCUGUUCUGUUUGUAGCUACAUCUUGUUUGGCCAGCGUUGUCAAGUCACUCCGGUUCACACUGACCGUGGCGUGUGCAGAAAGUAGCCCAUCACUUUCUCCAACUGCUCUGCCGCCUGCUACAUUCAGGGCAUCAAUGUUGAUGAGAAAAGUAGCAACACUUUUGCAGUUCUCGAUGACUAACAUUAUAUCUUUAAAAAAACGGCGCGGUAGAAAGGACUCAACAUUUAGUAAACAGCUCACGUUAUAUACACAGAAGCAUGCUUACAUGGCAGACCUAUCAAAACUCAUCUCCCGGCAUGUCCAGCCCACUCAUUAUCUCAGCCAAUCAUGGAUAGCGGGAAGGUUCCUGACUUUUUCCAUGGCUAAACCUACUAGGCUCGUAAUUGAACAAUUUGAUUUGUAUUUAUGUAUUGAACACAUAUUUGUUAUUAAGGCACAUGAACGUUCACAUGUUCCAGAAGGCCUUUCUGCCAAAAAACUGGUUUACAUAUUUUUAUUUUUUAUGUUUACAUUCAAAUGCCUUUUCUUCAAAUGCAGUCGCAAAAACCAUCAAGCGCUAUGAUGUAACUUGGCUCUCAUGAGGACCACCACAGGAAAGGAAGACCUGUGGUAAAAAAUAAAGACAAACCCUUGAAUGAGUAGGUGUGUACAAACUUGACUGGUACUGUAUGUCUCCAACUCUAAAUGGCUCUAGUGACUCAAAGUUAAAACCAUGAGCUGAACACUGAUGUUUUCUACUGUUGUUGGACUGUAAAAGUCAACUCAACAAAGCAAGCAUCAACUGACCCAGAAAAAGGCCAGCUAGGGUGAAUGGGUACAAAUCUGAUGGGGUCAAAACUUUUGGUAGAGGUUGAACACUAAAGAAAAAUAACAAUGUCCUUAAAAUGGAAAUAGAUGUACAAAAUAAAAAGUCAAGGAUUUAACCUCUACAGGAUUGGUGGCUCCCCCUCAGGACAGUUGAGCUAACAUAUGCUAAUGAAAUUAGCAUGAGGUUGUAAGUAACACGGAUAUUCCCAGGAUAUAGACAUAUCUGAUAUUGGCAGAAAGCUUAAAUUCUUGUUAAUCUAACUGCACUGUCCAAUUUACAGUAGCUAUCACACUGAAAUAAUACCAUGCUAUUGUUUGAGGAGAGUGCACAAUUAUGAACUUGAGAAGUUAUUAAAAAAACAAUUAGGCACAUUUGGGCAGUCUUGAUACAAAUUUUAACAUAAAUGUAAUGGUUCAUUGGAUUAGUCUAAAACUUUGCACAUACACUGAUGCCUUCUAGUGCCCAAAAUCUAAAUUGCACCUGGGCUGGAAUAAUACAUUAUGGCCUUUCUCUUGCAUUUUAAAGAUGGUACAAAAAAAUACAUGGUUUCUUCUUUGUAUUAUCUUCUACCAGAUCUAAUGUGUUAUAUUCUCCCACAUUCCUUUUACAUUUCCACAAACUUCAAAGUGUUUCCUUUCAAAUGGUACCAAGACUAUGCAUAUGCUUGCUUCAGGUCCUGAGCUACAGGCAGUUAGAUUUGGGUAUGUCAUUUUAGGAAAUCUGAUGGGGUCAAAAAGUUUGGUAUAGUUUGAACACUAACGAUUAAUAACAAUGUCCUUAAUAUGUCAAAUAGAUGUAUAAAAUAAAAAAAAGUAAAGGAUUUAAGAAAUGAAAUGUUUAUUUUGAAGGGACAAACUGUAAAAAAUGACUUUUCAGUUAAAGAGUGACAAUGAGAAACAAAGCCGCUUGGUUUGCUCUGCAGUACCAUUCAAGCAGAAAAUAUGUACAACAAAAUACACAUUGUAAUUAAAAAAAGCCAUGGUACUUUACAUUAAUAAUUACCCAUUUUGUGCCAUGUCUUCAUUGAUAAUGAUGCAUUUACACCAGAGAAGCUCAGGUGUCCUGUUGGUGGCAAUAUAAACCCUUAUCAGGUGAUCUCAACCAAUAUAAAACCCCAUCAGGUGUCCUGUUGGUGGCAAUAUAAAACCCCAUCAGCUGUCCUGUUGGUGGCAAUAUAAAACCCCAUCAGGUGUCCUGUUGGUGGCAAUAUAAAACCCCAUCAGGUGUCCUGUUGGUGGCAAUAUAAAACCCCAUCAGGUGUCCUGUUGGUGGCAAUAUAAAACCCCAUCAGCUGUCCUGUUGGUGGCAAUAUAAA
Molecule: long non-coding RNA, 3515 nt
Organism: Oncorhynchus tshawytscha (Chinook salmon)
Lineage: Eukaryota; Metazoa; Chordata; Actinopteri; Salmoniformes; Salmonidae
Source: Ensembl